AGCAGCCGCGGUAAUUCCAGCUCCAAUAGCGUAUAUUAAAGUUGUUGCAGUUAAAAAGCUCGUAGUUGAAUUUCGGGAUUAAUUUAUUGGUCGUGCUAUUGUACGUACUGGUAUUAUUGAUUCCUACCUUCUGACGAACCACGAUGUCAUUAAUUUGGUGUCAUGGGGAAUCAGGACUGUUACUUUGAAAAAAUUAGAGUGUUUAAAGCAGGCUCACGCUUGAAUACAUUAGCAUGGAAUAACGAAAUAGGACGUUUGAUUCUAUUUUGUUGGUUUCUAGGAUCGACGUAAUGAUUAAUAGGGAUAGUUGGGGGCAUUAGUAUUCAAUUGUCAGAGGUGAAAUUCUUGGAUUUAUUGAAGACUAACUACUGCGAAAGCAUUUGCCAAGGAUGUUUUCAUUAAUCAAGAACGAAAGUUAGGGGAUCGAAGACGAUCAGAUACCGUCGUAGUCUUAACCAUAAACUAUAGCCGACUAGGGAUCGGAUGAUGUUAAUUUUUAAUGACUCAUUCGGCGCCGUUA
Molecule: ribosomal RNA, 520 nt
Filed under: uncultured Glomus
Lineage: Eukaryota; Fungi; Glomeromycota; Glomeromycetes; Glomerales; Glomeraceae
Description: SSU rRNA
Rfam family: Eukaryotic small subunit ribosomal RNA
Source: RNAcentral